This 369-nucleotide ribosomal RNA is filed under the name uncultured bacterium. RNAcentral's name for it is "bacterial SSU rRNA". It matches the Rfam family "Bacterial small subunit ribosomal RNA", at positions 527 to 895 of the family's 1533-position model. The record is from RNAcentral.
AGAGGGUGCGAGCGUUAAUCGGAAUUACUGGGCGUAAAGCGUGCGUAGACGGUUAUUUAAGCCGGGUGUGAAAGCCCCGGGCUCAACCUGGGAAUUGCAUUCGAGACUGAAUAGCUAGGGUACGAUAGAGGGAAGCGGAAUUUCCGGUGUAGCGGUGAAAUGCGUAGAUAUCGGAAGGAACAUCAGUGGCGAAAGCGGCUUCCUGGACCAGUACCGACGUUCAGGCACGAAAGCGUGGGGAGCAAACAGGAUUAGAUACCCUGGUAGUCCACGCCAUAAACGAUGAGGACUAGACGUUGGAGGGGUAAGCCUUUCAGUGUCGUAGCUAACGCGCUAAGCCCUCCGCCUGGGGAGUACGGCCGCAAGGUU